Molecule: long non-coding RNA, 646 nt
Filed under: Lonchura striata (white-rumped munia)
Lineage: Eukaryota; Metazoa; Chordata; Aves; Passeriformes; Estrildidae
Description: domestica (Bengalese finch) lncRNA (ENSLSDG00000005939.1)
Source: RNAcentral
AUUCCAUACAUCCUACAGCUGGCCAAUAUUCUCUAGAGGCUGUGUUCCGGAUCUCCUUGUGUCUUCCAUUGGGUACCCAAAGCACAGCGAGAUGCUAACUGUUCUUCAGGCCCUUCUCUUCUGAAGAUACCUUUAAUUUCUCUAAGAUAAGCAAUUGUCCCAUCCCAUUGAUAUCUGGUGUUCAUAGCCAGGAAUUCUGGUUCAGAAAAAGCUGUAUUUGCACAUUUUCUAUUUCAGUGUAUUUGCAGUUCCAGACUGUUUCCCAGUAGUUUAUCUUGCUCCUGGAAGAGAAAUUGCAGUGCAAAAAUGUACUUUUCAGUUGGUUAAAGAAAGUCCAGUCUAAAUAUUCACUAAGUUUUAUACCUCUGUUGCAGGUAAAGAAGUAAACAAGGGCAGUGAUGAGCUUGUCAGGAGAAGAAAUGAAAUAUCAGAAAGUACUGCAAUGAAAGAAGCAGUGAAGAGGAGAAGAGUGGAAGUCAGAGAUGAUACCUCAUGCCCAGAGUCAUGUAUGGACAGAACUGGAGCUGACUGUGUUUACCACAUGAGUAAAGCAGAGCAAGGAUUUGAAAAGUAUAAGCGACUGGCCUCUACACAUGCCCUCUCUGGCUUCUUUCCUCAGGUUCUCCAAACACUGUUAAUGAGAUAA